Long non-coding RNA from Ostrinia nubilalis (European corn borer), 1124 nucleotides. RefSeq lists it as uncharacterized. The transcript is spliced from 4 exons. The record is from RefSeq and is a predicted model, not a curated record. NCBI's taxonomy places the organism in Eukaryota, Metazoa, Arthropoda, Insecta, Lepidoptera, Crambidae.
GUUUUUUUUAAUAAAAUUUUAUGAUUGCACCUUAAUAACAUACUUUUAUUCAUAAAAACAUUGAAUUCGAACUAAAAAUUUACCUCUGCAAAUCAUAUAACCAAACGCAUAGAACGAAUGAAAUACGAGUUUCACUACCCGCCCCCAGGUGGCAUACAUACUUUAAGGCUAGGCAGGCUAAGUUGACUACUACUCUACAAUAGGUGGCGUUAAUGGACUACGAAAAACGACGUGAAAUGUUUACUUCUUUUUAUUUAUUUAUACUUUAAUGCCAAAAUUUUAACCUAAGGCGAACUUAAUCUCACAUUUAAUAAAUUAUACAUAAAUAAGUGUUUUGAGAAGUAGUAUUUUAAUCUAUGUUCUGUGAAUGACAAGUGUUAUCUGUCAAGUGUCAAAAAACUUGAAAAACUUUUACGAAGUUUGAUUUUUGUUAAAUUUGUUUAUAAACACAAUGCCAAAGGCAAGAAUAAUUGCCCACGCCAGAUGGAGACCCAGCUAAAUAAUGUAGUAACAGCGCGUGGUCGUGUGAUGAGGGUUCCUUGACUUGAGUUCUGGCGCAACACGUCCUGGGCACUAAACAAGAUUGGGGAUGGGACGUCUAAAGAGGUGCAAGCCUGGAAAACGCUCUCGUCUUGCUCUACAGCACUUGCACUUGUCCCACCAUCUACCAGUGUUGGAACUCUUCCAAUAAUUUCCCACACCCAGGUGGAGAAUACUCCAGUUACUGCUACUACUACUCUAAAAUAUCUCUCAUCUUGUUCUACAGCGCCUGCACCUGUCUUACCAUCUACCAGUGUUGGAACUCUUCGAAGUGUAUUAAUGAUUAUUAUUUUAGUAACCAUAAAAGUUUAAAACAAUACAUUUUAUUGCAUAAUUAUUUGUUAGCAAAAACGACAAGUACAAAUGAGUAGGGAGGCUGUUGAUUUUUCAUGGUUAUUUUAUAUCUUGUUGAUUGUUCCAAAAAAAAACUAAGUUUUCAAGAAUGCUGUGAUUAAAGUACCUAUAGUAUUAUAUUUAAAAUGAAAACUUAGUUUGUAAAGAGACGAAGGCUGACCACAAAAGAAGUACUUAUAGCUGUCUGUGUCUGUGUAAAGAAUUUAAAUAAAAAGAUGUGUAUAUUUAAA